GGCCAGACUCCUACGGGAGGCAGCAGUGGGGAAUAUUGCACAAUAGGGGAAACCCUGAUGCAGCGACGCCGCGUGAGUGAAGAAGUAUUUCGGUAUGUAAAGCUCUAUCAGCAGGGAAGAAAAUGACGGUACCUGACUAAGAAGCCCCGGCUAACUACGUGCCAGCAGCCGCGGUAAUACGUAGGGGGCAAGCGUUAUCCGGAUUUACUGGGUGUAAAGGGAGCGUAGACGGCAUGGCAAGUCAGAUGUGAAAGCCCGGGGCUCAACCCCGGGACUGCAUUUGAAACUGUCAGGCUGGAGUGCAGGAGAGGUAAGUGGAAUUCCUAGUGUAGCGGUGAAAUGCGUAGAUAUUAGGAGGAACACCAGUGGCGAAGGCGGCUUACUGGACUGUAACUGACGUUGAGGCUCGAAAGCGUGGGGAGCAAACAGGAUUAGAUACCCGCGUA
Molecule: ribosomal RNA, 446 nt
Filed under: uncultured bacterium
Lineage: Bacteria
Description: bacterial SSU rRNA
Rfam family: Bacterial small subunit ribosomal RNA
Source: RNAcentral